Molecule: non-coding RNA, 81 nt
Organism: Tuber magnatum (white Piedmont truffle)
Lineage: Eukaryota; Fungi; Ascomycota; Pezizomycetes; Pezizales; Tuberaceae
Source: the annotation of a GenBank genome assembly
GAUAUUGUGGCCGAGUGGUUAAGAUAAGAGAUUACGCAUCUCUUACUUUCGGGUGUGCAAGUUCGAAUCUUGUUGAUGCCG